AACGAACGCUGGCGGCAGGCCUAACACAUGCAAGUCGAGCGCGCCCUUCGGGGUGAGCGGCGGACGGGUGAGUAACGCGUGGGAAUAUGCCUCUCGGUGCGGAAUAGCCACUGGAAACGGUGAGUAAUACCGCAUGCGCCCUUCGGGGGAAAGAUUUAUCGCCGAGAGAUUAGCCCGCGUUGGAUUAGGUAGUUGGUGGGGUAAAGGCCUACCAAGCCGACGAUCCAUAGCUGGUUUGAGAGGAUGAUCAGCCACACUGGGACUGAGACACGGCCCAGACUCCUACGGGAGGCAGCAGUGGGGAAUCUUAGACAAUGGGGGCAACCCUGAUCUAGCCAUGCCGCGUGAGUGAUGAAGGCCUUAGGGUCGUAAAGCUCUUUCGCCAGGGAAGAUAAUGACUGUACCUGGUAAAGAAACCCCGGCUAACUCCGUGCCAGCCGCCGCCGUAACAC
RNAcentral lists this ribosomal RNA (452 nucleotides) under uncultured bacterium. RNAcentral's name for it is "bacterial SSU rRNA". It matches the Rfam family "Bacterial small subunit ribosomal RNA", at positions 29 to 526 of the family's 1533-position model. The record is from RNAcentral.